UGCAGUCGAGCGCGAAUGGAGCAAUCCUAGUAGAGCGGCGCACGGGUGCGUAACACGUGGGUAAUCUGCCCGGGUGUCUGGGAUAACCAGUCGAAAGACUGGCUAAUACCGGAUAAGCCCCCGGCCUCUUCGGAGGCUGAGGGAAAAGAUGGCCUCUGUACACAAGCUAUCACACCUGGAUGAGCCCGCGGCCCAUCAGCUAGUUGGCGGGGUAAUGGCCCACCAAGGCAACGACGGGUAGCUGGUCUGAGAGGACGAUCAGCCACACUGGAACUGAGACACGGUCCAGACUCCUACGGGAGGCAGCAGUGGGGAAUUUUGCGCAAUGGGCGAAAGCCUGACGCAGCAACGCCGCGUGUGUGAUGAAGGUCUUCGGAUUGUAAAGCACUUUCGACCGGGACGAAAACCCUCUGGCUAACAUCCAGGGGCUUGACGGUACCGGGAGAAGAAGCACCGGCUAACUCUGUGCCAGCAGCCGCGGUAAUACAGAGGGUGCAAGCGUUGUUCGGAAUUAUUGGGCGUAAAGCGCGUGUAGGCGGCUUUGCAAGUCGGGUGUGAAAGCCCUCAGCUCAACUGAGGAAGUGCGCCCGAAACUGCAGAGCUUGAGUGCCGGAGAGGGUGGCGGAAUUCCC
This 632-nucleotide ribosomal RNA is filed under the name Vitiosangium sp. RNAcentral describes it as "bacterial SSU rRNA". It matches the Rfam family "Bacterial small subunit ribosomal RNA", at positions 56 to 671 of the family's 1533-position model. Lineage: Bacteria; Pseudomonadati; Myxococcota; Myxococcia; Myxococcales; Archangiaceae. The record is from RNAcentral.